Molecule: transfer RNA, 65 nt
Filed under: Nasalis larvatus (proboscis monkey)
Lineage: Eukaryota; Metazoa; Chordata; Mammalia; Primates; Cercopithecidae
Description: tRNA-Thr
Rfam family: tRNA
About the family: Transfer RNA (tRNA) molecules are approximately 80 nucleotides in length. Their secondary structure includes four short double-helical elements and three loops (D, anti-codon, and T loops).
Source: RNAcentral
GCCCUUGUAGUAUAAAUUAAUACACCGGUCUUGUAAACCAGAAACGGAUAUCUUUCCCCAGGGCA